Molecule: ribosomal RNA, 65 nt
Filed under: uncultured fungus
Lineage: Eukaryota; Fungi
Description: partial 28S ribosomal RNA
Source: RNAcentral
UUGACCUCGGAUCAGGUAGGAAUACCCGCUGAACUUAAGCAUAUCAAUAAGCGGAGGAAGUCCGU